UUGUUUAUCUCAAAGCGGUAAGGCACCGGAUUCUGAUUCCGGCAUUCCGAGGUUCGAAUCCUCGUACCCCAGCCA
RNAcentral lists this transfer RNA (75 nucleotides) under Salmonella enterica subsp. enterica serovar Enteritidis. Its description in RNAcentral is "tRNA-Gln". The record is from RNAcentral. Lineage: Bacteria; Pseudomonadati; Pseudomonadota; Gammaproteobacteria; Enterobacterales; Enterobacteriaceae.